UGGGGUGUAGCCAAGCGGCAAGGCAUGGGACUUUGACUCCCACAUCCAGUGGUUCAAAUCCACUCACCCCAGCCA
This 75-nucleotide transfer RNA is filed under the name Christensenellaceae bacterium. RNAcentral describes it as "tRNA-Gln". It matches the Rfam family "tRNA". Rfam says of the family: Transfer RNA (tRNA) molecules are approximately 80 nucleotides in length. Their secondary structure includes four short double-helical elements and three loops (D, anti-codon, and T loops). The record is from RNAcentral. Lineage: Bacteria; Bacillati; Bacillota; Clostridia; Christensenellales; Christensenellaceae.